UCUAUAAUUGAUUCUGAAGCC
Molecule: microRNA, 21 nt
Filed under: Lotus japonicus
Lineage: Eukaryota; Viridiplantae; Streptophyta; Magnoliopsida; Fabales; Fabaceae
Description: lja-miR11095-5p
Source: miRBase by way of RNAcentral